CAGUGUGACUCGUCACACUAUCAUUAACUGAAUCCAUAGGUUAAUGAGGCGAACCGGGGGAACUGAAACAUCUAAGUACCCCGAGGAAAAGAAAUCAACCGAGAUUCCCCCAGUAGCGGCGAGCGAACGGGGAGGAGCCCAGAGCCUGAAUCAGCAUGUGUGUUAGUGGAAGCGUCUGGAAAGGCGCGCGAUACAGGGUGACAGCCCCGUACACAAAAGCGCAUGUGCUGUGAGCUCGAUGAGUAGGGCGGGACACGUGGUAUCCUGUCUGAAUAUGGGGGGACCAUCCUCCAAGGCUAAAUACUCCUGACUGACCGAUAGUGAACCAGUACCGUGAGGGAAAGGCGAAAAGAACCCCGGCGAGGGGAGUGAAAAAGAACCUGAAACCGUGUACGUACAAGCAGUGGGAGCACAGGUUUACCUGUGUGACUGCGUACCUUUUGUAUAAUGGGUCAGCGACUUAUAUUCUGUAGCAAGGUUAACCGCAUAGGGGAGCCGGAGGGAAACCGAGUCUUAAU
This 518-nucleotide ribosomal RNA is filed under the name Salmonella enterica subsp. enterica serovar Hartford. Its description in RNAcentral is "partial 23S ribosomal RNA". It matches the Rfam family "Bacterial large subunit ribosomal RNA", at positions 129 to 688 of the family's 2925-position model. Lineage: Bacteria; Pseudomonadati; Pseudomonadota; Gammaproteobacteria; Enterobacterales; Enterobacteriaceae. The record is from RNAcentral.